UUAAGUAAGUAAGGGCGUACGGCGGAUGCCUUGGCCAUAUCAGCCGAAGAAGGACGCGAUAAGCUGCGAUAAGCUGCGGUGAGGUGCAAGUAACCAGUGACCCGCAGAUUUCCGAAUGGGGAAACCCGGCAGUAGUAGUACUGUCACCUCUCGAAUGAGAGGAGGGCACCCGGUGAACUGAAACAUCUAAGUAGCCGGAGGAAGAGGAAUCAAAAGAGAUGCCCCCAGUAGCGGCGAGCGAAGCGGGCAAAGCCCAAACCGGAGCGGGAAACCGCACCGGGGUUGAGGACUACCAACAAGUACCUAGAUGAAGUCGAAUCAGGUGGGAACCUGAGCCAGAGACGGUGAGAGCCCGGUAGACGUAAAGAAGGGUAUGGGGUAGUAUCCAGAGUACCACGGGGCACGAGGAACCUUGUGGGAAGCAGGGGGGACCACCCUCCAAGGCGAAAUACUGAUAUGGACCGAUAGCGCAUAGUACCGUGAGGGAAAGGUGAAAAGAACCCCGGGAGGGGAAUGAAAGAGAACCUGAAACCGUAUGUCUACAAGCAGUCGAAGCACCGUAUGCGUGCGACGGCGUGCCUAUUGAAGAAUGAACCGGCGAGUUAUUUCAUCCGGCGAGGUUAAGCGGAAAACGCGGAGCCGAAGCGAAAGCGAGUCUGAACAGGGCGACAAGUCGGAUGGAAUAGACCCGAAACCACAGUGAUCUAUCCAUGCCCAGGUUGAAGCACAGGUAAAAAUGUGUGGAGGACCGAACCAGUGAGCGUUGAAAAGCUUUUGGAUGAGGUGUGGAUAGGGGUGAAAUGCCAAUCGAACGUGGAGAUAGCUGGUUCUCCCCGAAAUAGCUUUAGGGCUAGCCUCAUGGCAAGAGUGCAGGCGGUAGAGCACUGAACAGGGUAGGGGCCUAUCCGGCUACCGAACCUAAUCAAACUACGAAUGGCUGUACUUAUCCAUGGGAGUCAGACUGCGAGUGAUAAGACCCGUAGUCAAGAGGGAAACAGCCCAGACCAACAGCUAAGGUCCCCAAUGCCGUACUAAGUGGUAAAGGAUGUGGAGUUUCGAAAACAACCAGGAUGUUGGCUUAGAAGCAGCCACCAUUAAAAGAGUGCGUAAUAGCUCACUGGUCGAGAGACUCUGCGCCGAAGAUGACCGGGGCUAAAGUACGGAACCGAAGCUUUGGCAUGUAUGAAAAUACAUGGGUAGGGGAGCGUUCCUGCAUGGGCGAAGCCUGACCGGAAGGACAGGUGGACAGGCAGGAAGUGAGAAUGCCGGUAUGAGUAGCGAAAAGAAAGGUGAGAAUCCUUUCCACCGAAAGCCUAAGGGUUCCUGGGCAACGAUCGUCGACCCAGGGUAAGUCGGGACCUAAUCCGAGGCGAAGACGCAUAGGAGAUGGACAACAGGUUGAAAUUCCUGUACCGACGUCGUCUGUUUGAGCGAUGGAGUGACACAAGAAGGAAAGUUCGCAUGCGAUUGGAAGAGCAUGUCUAAGCAGGUAGGUUGAAUACCAGGCAAAUCCGGUAUUCUAAAAGCCGAGAAGUGAUAGGGAGCCUGUAGAAAUACAGGUGAAGGAACCGGGACUCGAUUGUCAAGAAAAGCUUCUAGUGAGGACGACGCCGCCCGUACCAAAACCGACACAGGUAGGCAAGAAGAGAAUUCUAAGGUGCGCGGGAAAACCCUCGUUAAGGAACUCGGCAAAAUGUAUCCGUAACUUCGGGAAAAGGAUAACCCAGAGUACGUGAAGGAAAGAAACAUCCGGAGCGGGAAUGGGUGGCACAAGAGAGGCCCAAGCGACUGUUUACCACAAACACAGGCGUCUGCUAAAGAGAAAUCUGAUGUAUAGAUGCUGACACCUGCCCGGUGCUGGAAGGUUAAGAGGACGUGUUAGCCGCAAGGCGAAGCAGAGAAUUGAAGCCCCAGUAAACGGCGGCCGUAACUAUAACGGUCCUAAGGUAGCGAAAUUCCUUGUCGGGUAAGUUCCGACCCGCACGAAAGGUGUAACGAUUUGGGCACUGUCUCAACGAGGGACCCGGUGAAAUUGAAGUACCUGUGAAGAUGCAGGUUACCCGCGACUGGACAGAAAGACCCCAUGGAGCUUUACUGUAACCUGAGAUUGAAUUUUGGUAGAAGAUGUACAGGAUAGUUGGGAGACGUAGAAGCGCGCACGCCAGUGUACGCAGAGUCGAUGGUGGGAUACCAACCUUGUUUUAUUGAAAUUCUAACGAGAGCCGUAACGAGGCUGCGGACAGUCUCAGGCGGGCAGUUUGACUGGGGCGGUCGCCUCCGAAAGAGUAACGGAGGCGCCCAAAGGUUCCCU
RNAcentral lists this ribosomal RNA (2311 nucleotides) under human gut metagenome. Its description in RNAcentral is "bacterial LSU rRNA". It matches the Rfam family "Bacterial large subunit ribosomal RNA", at positions 3 to 2322 of the family's 2925-position model. The record is from RNAcentral.